AGAUAGGAGACUAUCACCCAGUCAUCAACCUAUGCCAACCCAAUGGUUUUGGGGCGUACCGACAACUCAAGAAGGAAGGUAUCCAUCUCUUAGGGGAUCUACAAGGUUGGACUUGAAGGGCACUUACCUAUAGGUUCACAUGGUGCCUCAUGAAGUUUCUGAAGUCGGUCACUGCGCACUGAAAAGCAAAGAGUAUCUGCUGUCACAUACCUAGACGACUUACCUUUUGCAAAUCCAAUUCAUGACUACGUUUACAAACGAGAUUUAUGUUUACAGUUUCGGGAAUUGUUGGGAUUCAUAGUGAACAGAGAGGAGUUGGUUCGAUCCCAGUUCCGAGUGAUUCAGUUCCUCUAUUUCAGAAUAGAUUCCACCUUGGGCGGAUUACACCUUCCCAC
Molecule: long non-coding RNA, 395 nt
Filed under: Pelobates cultripes (western spadefoot toad)
Lineage: Eukaryota; Metazoa; Chordata; Amphibia; Anura; Pelobatidae
Source: RNAcentral